This 236-nucleotide ribosomal RNA is filed under the name uncultured bacterium. Its description in RNAcentral is "partial 16S ribosomal RNA". It matches the Rfam family "Bacterial small subunit ribosomal RNA", at positions 57 to 305 of the family's 1533-position model. The record is from RNAcentral.
GCAAGUCGAGGGGUAACAGAUUUGAUUUAUUCGAUGCUGACGACCGGCGAACGGGUGAGUAACGCGUACACUACCUACCUUAUACAGGGGGACAUACACUGGAAACGGAGUAAAUACCCCAUAUGAUGGAGACAUUAAAGCUACGGCGGUAUAAGAUGGGUGUGCGUACUAUUAGGUAGUUGGUAGGGUAACGGCCUACCAAGCCGACGAUAGUUAGGGGGCGUGAGAGCGUGAAC